AAGAUGGCGACCGGCGCACGGGUGAGUAACACGUAUCCAACCUGCCGUCUACUCUUGGACAGCCUUCUGAAAGAAAGAUUAAUACCCGAUGGCAUAAUGAUUCCGCAUGGUUUCAUUAUUAAAGGAUUCCGGUAAAGGAUGGGGAUGCGUUCCAUUAGGUUGUUGGUGAGGUAACGGCUCACCAAGCCUUCGAUGGAUAGGGGUUCUGAGAGGAAGGUCCCCCACAUUGGAACUGAGACACGGUCCAAACUCCUACGGGAGGCAGCAUG
This 269-nucleotide ribosomal RNA is filed under the name uncultured bacterium. RNAcentral describes it as "partial 16S ribosomal RNA". It matches the Rfam family "Bacterial small subunit ribosomal RNA", at positions 85 to 353 of the family's 1533-position model. The record is from RNAcentral.